Molecule: long non-coding RNA, 810 nt
Filed under: Bos taurus (domestic cattle)
Lineage: Eukaryota; Metazoa; Chordata; Mammalia; Artiodactyla; Bovidae
Description: long non-coding RNA NONBTAT022673
Source: RNAcentral
GAACUGUGGCUGAUGUUUGAAUAGUCCUCUCAUCCAUACUUACAUAAAUAAUUAUGCAUUAUUUCUCUAAUCAAAAGUCUGGCAUCCACCACAAAAUGAAAUCCCAAGUUUCCCAGCAUAUCCCCAGCGUACCUUUGCAACCAGACCUUUCAUUAUCCUCCUACCCAUUUCUUUCAUCAAACUUAACUAUUUGCAGUCCCAGAAUUUUCCCUGGGAUUCACAAACCCACUGUUUCCUAUCUGCCUUAAACUAUUCCAAGUGCAUGGAAAAUUAUCUUUAAAAUGGAUUAUAUACUUUGUUUCAACUAAAAAUGCUCAAAUACUGUCUCCUGUAUGAAAUUGUCCAAGUUCAGCCUUAUCCCCACCCCAUCCAUGGGUUCUUUCCCUCCUCUAAUGAUUGUGAGCCCCUCACUCAUGUCCAGGUCUUCAUAAUGCUUUAUAUAAUGUCUGAAAUCCCCUGGAGGGCCAAGACCUGUGUUAUGGUCUUUGUAUGCCACAUAGCACCUACACAAUUUGCUGCACAAAGUAAGGACCUCUGUGAAAAAUGAAUUCUUACUCAAAUUGAUAAUUUAAAGAUUCUCUUUAAACACAACUUAAAUAUUACUUCUUCCCCCUCCCUUUUCUGAUUCUUAGCUCAAAUGUAGAUGACUGGUUAAACUGGGAAAAGAGUAAUAACUAUUAUUAUUUACAAGUACUAAACUGGUUUAGUUAAAGCUUCCCUCACAUGUCUGAGAGACACCCAUUGGCAACUUUGCAGAUAGAUCCACAGUCUCAGUUCUCUGUGCCUCAACAUUUAGCUCAUUGUAAUAUG